GUAAGUGAUGACCUUAUGCUUGGAUAUAUCAGCUUCAGAAGGAAUGGGUGUUUUAGGCUUUAUCCUCACCUCUGCUCCUGCAUAAUUCAUCUUCUGUCUUCCAAAUUAUGGAAAAUGAGGAAAUAGAGGAACUGAAUGUCUUCCUUUCUGCUUGCAGACCUGGGUUGCUACUGAGCCCUGGGAAUCAAUACACGAACCAGUGCAUCGUCAUAGCUCACUCCAAAUAAGGUGUUUUCACCCCAUUGAUCUGGCCUAUAUCUGUUGAUUUUGUUAAACAGUCUGUACUGCAAGGGGAGGAAGAAGUUGUUAUUUUAUUAUUCCCUCAUAAAAUUAAUUGGUGCCUCAAAUAAAUAUUAUUAAAAAUACUGUAUUUUAUAACAUACGAAGAUGAUUAAUAUAGUUUCAGUAUGGAGCUCUUAUACUUUGUAUGUUUAUGUCAAUAAACUCAUAAAAUUUCGAAAAUGAAA
Non-coding RNA from Heterocephalus glaber (naked mole-rat), 467 nucleotides. Lineage: Eukaryota; Metazoa; Chordata; Mammalia; Rodentia; Bathyergidae. The record is from RefSeq and is a predicted model, not a curated record.